GCGCACGUGGCGGAAUUGGUAGACGCGCUAGUUUCAGGUACUAGUAUUGGCAACGAUGUGGAGGUUCGAGUCCUCUCGUGCGCA
RNAcentral lists this transfer RNA (84 nucleotides) under Verrucomicrobiia bacterium AMD-G2. RNAcentral's name for it is "Verrucomicrobiae bacterium AMD-G2 tRNA-Leu". It matches the Rfam family "tRNA". Rfam says of the family: Transfer RNA (tRNA) molecules are approximately 80 nucleotides in length. Their secondary structure includes four short double-helical elements and three loops (D, anti-codon, and T loops). RNAcentral also lists the same sequence under 1 other name. The record is from RNAcentral. Lineage: Bacteria; Pseudomonadati; Verrucomicrobiota; Verrucomicrobiia.